CGCCCAGACUCCUACGGGAGGCAGCAGUGGGGAAUAUUGCACAAUGGGGGAAACCCUGAUGCAGCGACGCCGCGUGAGCGAUGAAGUAUUUCGGUAUGUAAAGCUCUAUCAGCAGGGAAGAAAAUGACGGUACCUGACUAAGAAGCCCCGGCUAACUACGUGCCAGCAGCCGCGGUAAUACGUAGGGGGCAAGCGUUAUCCGGAUUUACUGGGUGUAAAGGGAGCGUAGACGGCUGUGCAAGCCAGAUGUGAAAGCCCGGGGCUCAACCCCGGGACUGCAUUUGGAACUGUGUGGCUGGAGUGUCGGAGAGGCAGGCGGAAUUCCUAGUGUAGCGGUGAAAUGCGUAGAUAUUAGGAGGAACACCAGUGGCGAAGGCGGCCUGCUGGACGAUGACUGACGUUGAGGCUCGAAAGCGUGGGGAGCAAACAGGAUUAGAUACCCUGGUAAA
RNAcentral lists this ribosomal RNA (449 nucleotides) under uncultured bacterium. Its description in RNAcentral is "partial 16S ribosomal RNA". It matches the Rfam family "Bacterial small subunit ribosomal RNA", at positions 328 to 794 of the family's 1533-position model. The record is from RNAcentral.